This 174-nucleotide ribosomal RNA is filed under the name uncultured bacterium. Its description in RNAcentral is "partial 16S ribosomal RNA". It matches the Rfam family "Bacterial small subunit ribosomal RNA", at positions 338 to 524 of the family's 1533-position model. The record is from RNAcentral.
CCUACGGGAGGCAGCAGUGGGGAAUAUUGCACAAUGGGGGAAACCCUGAUGCAGCGACGCAGCGUGCGGGAUGACGGCCUUCGGGUUGUAAACCGCUUUCAGCAGGGAAGAAGCGCAAGUGACGGUACCUGCAGAAGAAGUACCGGCUAACUACGUGCCAGCAGCCGCGGUAAU